RNAcentral lists this ribosomal RNA (2901 nucleotides) under Escherichia coli. RNAcentral describes it as "23S ribosomal RNA". It matches the Rfam family "Bacterial large subunit ribosomal RNA". The record is from RNAcentral. Lineage: Bacteria; Pseudomonadati; Pseudomonadota; Gammaproteobacteria; Enterobacterales; Enterobacteriaceae.
UUAAGCGACUAAGCGUACACGGUGGAUGCCCUGGCAGUCAGAGGCGAUGAAGGACGUGCUAAUCUGCGAUAAGCGUCGGUGAGGUGAUAUGAACCGUUAUAACCGGCGAUUUCCGAAUGGGGAAACCCAGUGUGUUUCGACACACUAUCAUUAACUGAAUCCAUAGGUUAAUGAGGCGAACCGGGGGAACUGAAACAUCUAAGUACCCCGAGGAAAAGAAAUCAACCGAGAUUCCCCCAGUAGCGGCGAGCGAACGGGGAGGAGCCCAGAGCCUGAAUCAGUGUGUGUGUUAGUGGAAGCGUCUGGAAAGGCGCGCGAUACAGGGUGACAGCCCCGUACACAAAAAUGCACAUAUUGUGAGCUCGAUGAGUAGGGCGGGACACGUGGUAUCCUGUCUGAAUAUGGGGGGACCAUCCUCCAAGGCUAAAUACUCCUGACUGACCGAUAGUGAACCAGUACCGUGAGGGAAAGGCGAAAAGAACCUCGGCGAGGGGAGUGAAAAAGAACCUGAAACCGUGUACGUACAAGCAGUGGGAGCCUCUUAAUGGGGUGACUGCGUACCUUUUGUAUAAUGGGUCAGCGACUUAUAUUCUGUAGCAAGGUUAACCGAAUAGGGGAGCCGAAGGGAAACCGAGUCUUAACUGGGCGUUAAGUUGCAGGGUAUAGACCCGAAGCCCGGUGAUCUAGCCAUGGGCAGGUUGAAGGUUGGGUAACACUAACUGGAGGACCGAACCGACUAAUGUUGAAAAAUUAGCGGAUGACUUGUGGCUGGGGGUGAAAGGCCAAUCAAACCGGGAGAUAGCUGGUUCUCCCCGAAAGCUAUUUAGGUAGCGCCUCGUGAAUUCAUCUCCGGGGGUAGAGCACUGUUUCGGCAAGGGGGUCAUCCCGACUUACCAACCCGAUGCAAACUGCGAAUACCGGAGAAUGUUAUCACGGGAGACACACGGCGGGUGCUAACGUCCGUCGUGAAGAGGGAAACAACCCAGACCGCCAGCUAAGGUCCCAAAGUCAUGGUUAAGUGGGAAACGAUGUGGGAAGGCCCAGACAGCCAGGAUGUUGGCUUAGAAGCAGCCAUCAUUUAAAGAAAGCGUAAUAGCUCACUGGUCGAGUCGGCCUGCGCGGAAGAUGUAACGGGGCUAAACCAUGCACCGAAGCUGCGGCAGCGACACUAUGUGUUGUUGGGUAGGGGAGCGUUCUGUAAGCCUGUGAAGGUGGCCUGUGAGGGUUGCUGGAGGUAUCAGAAGUGCGAAUGCUGACAUAAGUAACGAUAAAGCGGGUGAAAAGCCCGCUCGCCGGAAGACCAAGGGUUCCUGUCCAACGUUAAUCGGGGCAGGGUGAGUCGACCCCUAAGGCGAGGCCGAAAGGCGUAGUCGAUGGGAAACAGGUUAAUAUUCCUGUACUUGGUGUUACUGCGAAGGGGGGACGGAGAAGGCUAUGUUGGCCGGGCGACGGUUGUCCCGGUUUAAGCGUGUAGGCUGGUUUUCCAGGCAAAUCCGGAAAAUCAAGGCUGAGGCGUGAUGACGAGGCACUACGGUGCUGAAGCGACAAAUGCCCUGCUUCCAGGAAAAGCCUCUAAGCAUCAGGUAACAUCAAAUCGUACCCCAAACCGACACAGGUGGUCAGGUAGAGAAUACCAAGGCGCUUGAGAGAACUCGGGUGAAGGAACUAGGCAAAAUGGUGCCGUAACUUCGGGAGAAGGCACGCUGAUAUGUAGGUGAAGCGACUUGCUCGUGGAGCUGAAAUCAGUCGAAGAUACCAGCUGGCUGCAACUGUUUAUUAAAAACACAGCACUGUGCAAACACGAAAGUGGACGUAUACGGUGUGACGCCUGCCCGGUGCCGGAAGGUUAAUUGAUGGGGUUAGCGGUAACGCGAAGCUCUUGAUCGAAGCCCCGGUAAACGGCGGCCGUAACUAUAACGGUCCUAAGGUAGCGAAAUUCCUUGUCGGGUAAGUUCCGACCUGCACGAAUGGCGUAAUGAUGGCCAGGCUGUCUCCACCCGAGACUCAGUGAAAUUGAACUCGCUGUGAAGAUGCAGUGUACCCGCGGCAAGACGGAAAGACCCCGUGAACCUUUACUAUAGCUUGACACUGAACAUUGAGCCUUGAUGUGUAGGAUAGGUGGGAGGCUUUGAAGUGUGGACGCCAGUCUGCAUGGAGCCGACCUUGAAAUACCACCCUUUAAUGUUUGAUGUUCUAACGUGGGCCCCUUACCGGGGUUGCGGACAGUGUCUGGUGGGUAGUUUGACUGGGGCGGUCUCCUCCUAAAGAGUAACGGAGGAGCACGAAGGUUGGCUAAUCCUGGUCGGACAUCAGGAGGUUAGUGCAAUGGCAUAAGCCAGCUUGACUGCGAGCGUGACGGCGCGAGCAGGUGCGAAAGCAGGUCAUAGUGAUCCGGUGGUUCUGAAUGGAAGGGCCAUCGCUCAACGGAUAAAAGGUACUCCGGGGAUAACAGGCUGAUACCGCCCAAGAGUUCAUAUCGACGGCGGUGUUUGGCACCUCGAUGUCGGCUCAUCACAUCCUGGGGCUGAAGUAGGUCCCAAGGGUAUGGCUGUUCGCCAUUUAAAGUGGUACGCGAGCUGGGUUUAGAACGUCGUGAGACAGUUCGGUCCCUAUCUGCCGUGGGCGCUGGAGAACUGAGGGGGGCUGCUCCUAGUACGAGAGGACCGGAGUGGACGCAUCACUGGUGUUCGGGUUGUCAUGCCAAUGGCACUGCCCGGUAGCUAAAUGCGGAAGAGAUAAGUGCUGAAAGCAUCUAAGCACGAAACUUGCCCCGAGAUGAGUUCUCCCUGACUCCUUGAGAGUCCUGAAGGAACGUUGAAGACGACGACGUUGAUAGGCCGGGUGUGUAAGCGCAGCGAUGCGUUGAGCUAACCGGUACUAAUGAACCGUGAGGCUUAACCU